UAGGGAAUCUUCGGCAAUGGGGGCAACCCUGACCGAGCAACGCCGCGUGAGUGAAGAAGGUUUUCGGAUCGUAAAGCUCUGUUGUAAGAGAAGAACGUGUGUGAGAGUGGAAAUUUCACACAGUGACGGUAACUUACCAGAAAGGGACGGCUAACUACGUGCCAGCAGCCGCGGUAAUACGUAGGUCCCGAGCGUUGUCCGGAUUUAUUGGGCGUAAAGCGCGCGCAGGCGGUUUAAUAAGUCUGAAGUUAAAGGCAGUGGCUUAACCAUUGUUGGCUUUGGAAACUGUUAAACUUGAGUGCAGAAGGGGAGAGUGGAAUUCCAUGUGUAGCGGUGAAAUGCGUGGAUAUAUGGGGGAACACCGGUGGCGAAAGCGGCUCUCUGGGCUGUGACUGACGCUGAGGCUCGAGAGCGUGGGGAGCAAACAGG
This 429-nucleotide ribosomal RNA is filed under the name bacterium. RNAcentral describes it as "partial 16S ribosomal RNA". It matches the Rfam family "Bacterial small subunit ribosomal RNA", at positions 355 to 776 of the family's 1533-position model. The record is from RNAcentral.